ACGUCCGUAGCUCAACUGGUAGAGCAGCGGUCUCCAAAACCGCAGGUUGGGGGUUCGAGUCCCUCCGGACGUG
Molecule: transfer RNA, 73 nt
Filed under: Candidatus Kryptonium thompsonii
Lineage: Bacteria; Pseudomonadati; Candidatus Kryptoniota
Also listed under: 2 other names
Description: Candidatus Kryptonium thompsoni tRNA
Rfam family: tRNA
About the family: Transfer RNA (tRNA) molecules are approximately 80 nucleotides in length. Their secondary structure includes four short double-helical elements and three loops (D, anti-codon, and T loops).
Source: Rfam by way of RNAcentral